Long non-coding RNA from Capsicum annuum, 1540 nucleotides. RefSeq lists it as uncharacterized. NCBI's taxonomy places the organism in Eukaryota, Viridiplantae, Streptophyta, Magnoliopsida, Solanales, Solanaceae. The record is from RefSeq and is a predicted model, not a curated record. The transcript has 3 exons.
GAUUUAUUGUAUUGUAUGAACUAAUAUUUGUUAUGUGAUGUUACAGUAAAUCAUUGUAGCAUCUAUAGAAGCUAAUGAAGCCCACAGACAAUCCAGAAUAAAGGGAAACAAGGAACAAAUAGACAAGAAGAAGAAAGCAAAGAUUGGUUGACACCUCUCCUUGUGGGGGCAACUAUGCGCCACACCCUCUAUAGCAUGGGAGGGGGCCUUGCGCCACACUCUCUAUUCUGAGAUCACAAUGGUUGGUACCUGUUAUGGUCCUUCACCUCACCUCCCUUGACUCUUUGAUGGCCAUGUGAUGUACCCUUCCCUUCUCUUUAAAACAAACUGUCUAAAAGUUAAUUUUUGCGUGGUUUAAGUUGAGCGCCAAGUAUUAAAUAUAUGUGAUUCAUCUGGGGCAGAUUAUGAAAGACAUAAGGGACUAUAUAAGGAGUACUUAGCUACAUUUACAAGAGAUCCUUACAACAACACAUAUUUGGAGAGAGGAGAAGGCUUCAAGAGCUCUACAUUAAGGCUCAAAAAGGCCACUUUACUUCUUACACAAACACGUGCACUUGCGUGUAUGAUUGGAUGCAACAAGUAUAGGCCUCAGAGUACUGCAAUAUAUUUCUCACACUCUUAUCCUUAAGAGGUGGUGGAGGUUCAGAACUCAACCAUGUUUGUAGGCUACAUAUCGUGAAGCAAAAUACUGUAAAUGAGCCCACCCUGUGGCCAAAGUCACAGACUCUAAAGACUACAAUUAAUGAAAAAGUUAGAUGAAAAUCAAGGUCAAGGCAGACACAAACAUUAUAUGAAAGAUUCAAGCCGAAAAUUCAUGUUUUGGUGGGAUAGUUGGACAGGUAAAGGUGCUCUUGCUAAUUUUGUCCCUGGACUAGGUAAGUCUGCUGAACUCCUGGUCAAUUCCUUUAUCAAAGAUAAUAUGUGGAAUUUUGACAAAUAUAAUGAUACUCUUCCUUAUUAUAUUGUUGAAGAUAUUAGAAAUAUUGAUUUUGGGAUACUAGAGAUCCUAAGUUCCCUAUUUGAAAAUCAACAGAAGAUGGUACUUUCUCUAUGAAAUCUACUUGAUAGCUAAUUAGGGAACAAAAGCAGAGAAAUAACCUUCUCCAAAGUGUUUGGCAUGCUAGAAUCCCCUUCAAAGUCUCUUUCUUACUUGGUGGAUGAUUAAAAAGAAAUUUCAUUUUAAGGAUACAGUUAACAGGUGCGGCACUAAUUUCUUUGAUGAGCUCUCUUGUGACAGUCUACUACAAAGUAAGACAAUACAACAUAUUUUUAUUACCAGUGAAGGAGCUAGUAGGUUGUGGAGCAUUAUCGACAACACUCUGUGAAUUCAACACCAUCAAGAUUAGGGUUGGCGUGACGGCAGUGGCCGCACUCGGCAGCGACUACCGACGGCAGUGACAAACUGAACAAAUGAACUGAGCAAAUGACUGUGGUUGGCGAUUUUGAAAUUUCAAAUGAAUUGACGAACUGAGGAUGGUUGAACGCUGCUGCAUCCUUCACGUUAAUGUUAGGGUCUAAAGCGAAGCAGUGUAUUAGGAUU